GAUGAAGAACGUAGCGAAAUGCGAUAAGUAAUGUGAAUUGCAGAAUUCAGUGAAUCAUCGAAUCUUUGAACGCACAUUGCGCCCGCCAGUAUUCUGGCGGGCAUGCCUGUUCGAGCGUCAUUUCAACCAUCAAGCCCCCGGCUUGUGUUGGGGACCUGCGUCUGCCGCAGGCCCUGAAAAGCAGUGGCGGGCUCGCUGUCACACCGAGCGUAGUAGCAUACAUCUCGCUCUGGGCGUGCUGCGGGUUCCGGCCGUUAAACCACCUUCAUAACCCAAGGUUGACCUCGGAUCAGGUAGGAAGACCCGCUGAACUUAAGCAUAUCAAUAAGCGGAGGA
Molecule: unclassified non-coding RNA, 336 nt
Filed under: soil metagenome
Description: partial contains 5.8S ribosomal RNA, internal transcribed spacer 2, and large subunit ribosomal RNA
Rfam family: 5.8S ribosomal RNA (bases 1-120)
Source: RNAcentral